UGAGUAACCUGCCCUUAACUCUGGGAUAAGCCUGGGAAACUGGGUCUAAUGCCGAAUACGACCUCCUUUCGCAUGAUUGGAGGUGGAAAGCUCCGGCGGAGAAGGAUGAGCUCGCGGCCUAUCAGCUAGUUGGUGUGGGUAACGGCCCACCAAGGCGACGACGAGUAGCCGGCCUGAGAGGGUGACCGGCCACACUGGGACUGAGACACGGCCCAGACUCCUACGGGAGCAG
RNAcentral lists this ribosomal RNA (232 nucleotides) under uncultured bacterium. RNAcentral describes it as "partial 16S ribosomal RNA". It matches the Rfam family "Bacterial small subunit ribosomal RNA", at positions 118 to 347 of the family's 1533-position model. The record is from RNAcentral.